Terrapene triunguis (Three-toed box turtle) is the source of this 385-nucleotide non-coding RNA. The record is from the annotation of a RefSeq genome assembly. NCBI's taxonomy places the organism in Eukaryota, Metazoa, Chordata, Testudines, Emydidae.
GCUCGGUAUCUGACACUAAGGUAUCAAGAUGAUCUCCCAGACUCAGCUUCUCUGGCUCCUCGUGCUCUGCAUUCAGGACUCCAGUGGGCAGAUCGUGAUGACUCAGAGUCCAGAAUCCCUGGCGGUGUCUCCAGGAGACAGAGUCACCAUCAACUGCAAAGCCAGUUCCAAUAUUUAUAGCAGCAUAGCCUGGUAUCAACAGAAAACAGGACAAGCUCCUAAACUCCUUAUCUAUGGUGCUUCCACCCGUCCCUCUGGGAUCCCAGACCGGUUCAGCGGUAGUGGGUCGGGCACUGACUUCACAUUCACCAUCAACAGGGUAGAAGCGGAUGAUGCUGGAGAUUAUUACUGCCAGCAGCAUAGCAGCUACCCUCUCACACAGUGA